UGGGGAAUUUUGGACAAUGGGCGCAAGCCUGAUCCAGCCAUGCCGCGUGCGGGAAGAAGGCCUUCGGGUUGUAAACCGCUUUUGUCAGGGAAGAAAUCUUCUGAGUUAAUACCUCGGGAGGAUGACGGUACCUGAAGAAUAAGCACCGGCUAACUACGUGCCAGCAGCCGCGGUAAUACGUAGGGUGCAAGCGUUAAUCGGAAUUACUGGGCGUAAAGCGUGCGCAGGCGGUUUUGUAAGACAGAGGUGAAAUCCCCGGGCUCAACCUGGGAACUGCCUUUGUGACUGCAAGGCUUGAGUGCGGCAGAGGGGGAUGGAAUUCCGCGUGUAGCAGUGAAAUGCGUAGAUAUGCGGAGGAACACCGAUGGCGAAGGCAAUCCCCUGGGCCUGCACUGACGCCCAUGCACGAAAGCGUGGGGAGCAAACAGGAUUAGAUACCCUGGUAGUGCCACGCCCUAAACGAUGUCAACUGGUUGUUGGGAAGGUUCCUUCUCAGUAAACGUAGCUAACGCGUGAAGUUGACCGCCUGGGGAGUACGGCCGCAAGGUUGAAACUC
This 556-nucleotide ribosomal RNA is filed under the name uncultured bacterium. Its description in RNAcentral is "partial 16S ribosomal RNA". It matches the Rfam family "Bacterial small subunit ribosomal RNA", at positions 355 to 902 of the family's 1533-position model. The record is from RNAcentral.